AGCGAAACGGGAAGAGCCCAAACCAACAAGCUUGCUUGUUGGGGUUGUAGGACACUCUAUACGGAGUUACAAAGGACGACAUUAGACGAAUCAUCUGGAAAGAUGAAUCAAAGAAGGUAAUAAUCCUGUAGUCGAAAAUGUUGUCUCUCUUGAGUGGAUCCUGAGUACGACGGAGCACGUGAAAUUCCGUCGGAAUCUGGGAGGACCAUCUCCUAAGGCUAAAUACUCUCUAGUGACCGAUAGUGAACCAGUACCGUGAGGGAAAGGUGAAAAGCACCCCGGAAGGGGAGUGAAAUAGAACCUGAAACCGUGUGCUUACAAGUAGUCAGAGCCCGUUAAUGGGUGAUGGCGUGCCUUUUGUAGAAUGAACCGGCGAGUUACGAUUUGAUGCAAGGUUAAGCAGUAAAUGUGGAGCCGUAGCGAAAGCGAGUCUGAAUAGGGCGUUUAGUAUUUGGUCGUAGACCCGAAACCAGGUGAUCUACCCUUGGUCAGGUUGAAGUUCAGGUAACACUGAAUGGAGGACCGAACCGACUUACGUUGAAAAGUGAGCGGAUGAACUGAGGGUAGCGGAGAAAUUCCAAUCGAACCUGGAGAUAGCUGGUUCUCUCCGAAAUAGCUUUAGGGCUAGCCUCAAGUGAUGAUUAUUGGAGGUAGAGCACUGUUUGGACGAGGGGCCCCUCUCGGGUUACCGAAUUCAGACAAACUCCGAAUGCCAAUUAAUUUAACUUGGGAGUCAGAACAUGGGUGAUAAGGUCCGUGUUCGAAAGGGAAACAGCCCAGACCACCAGCUAAGGUCCCAAAAUAUAUGUUAAGUGGAAAAGGAUGUGGCGUUGCCCAGACAACUAGGAUGUUGGCUUAGAAGCAGCCAUCAUUUAAAGAGUGCGUAAUAGCUCACUAGUCGAGUGACACUGCGCCGAAAAUGUACCGGGGCUAAACAUAUUACCGAAGCUGUGGAUUGUCCUUUGGACAAUGGUAGGAGAGCGUUCUAAGGGCGUUGAAGCAUAAUCGUAAGGACAUGUGGAGCGCUUAGAAGUGAGAAUGCCGGUGUGAGUAGCGAAAGACGGGUGAGAAUCCCGUCCACCGAUUGACUAAGGUUUCCAGAGGAAGGCUCGUCCGCUCUGGGUUAGUCGGGUCCUAAGCUGAGGCCGACAGGCGUAGGCGAUGGAUAACAGGUUGAUAUUCCUGUACCACCUAUAAUCGUUUUAAUCGAUGGGGGGACGCAGUAGGAUAGGCGAAGCGUGCGAUUGGAUUGCACGUCUAAGCAGUAAGGCUGAGUAUUAGGCAAAUCCGGUACUCGUUAAGGCUAAGCUGUGAUGGGGAGAAGACAUUGUGUCUUCGAGUCGUUGAUUUCACACUGCCGAGAAAAGCCUCUAGAUAGAAAAUAGGUGCCCGUACCGCAAACCGACACAGGUAGUCAAGAUGAGAAUUCUAAGGUGAGCGAGCGAACUCUCGUUAAGGAACUCGGCAAAAUGACCCCGUAACUUCGGGAGAAGGGGUGCUCUUUAGGGUUAACGCCCAGAAGAGCCGCAGUGAAUAGGCCCAAGCGACUGUUUAUCAAAAACACAGGUCUCUGCUAAACCGUAAGGUGAUGUAUAGGGGCUGACGCCUGCCCGGUGCUGGAAGGUUAAGAGGAGUGGUUAGCUUCUGCGAAGCUACGAAUCGAAGCCCCAGUAAACGGCGGCCGUAACUAUAACGGUCCUAAGGUAGCGAAAUUCCUUGUCGGGUAAGUUCCGACCCGCACGAAAGGCGUAACGAUUUGGGCACUGUCUCAACGAGAGACUCGGUGAAAUCAUAGUACCUGUGAAGAUGCAGGUUACCCGCGACAGGACGGAAAGACCCCGUGGAGCUUUACUGUAGCCUGAUAUUGAAAUUCGGCACAGCUUGUACAGGAUAGGUAGGAGCCUUUGAAACGUGAGCGCUAGCUUACGUGGAGGCGCUGGUGGGAUACUACCCUAGCUGUGUU
This 1963-nucleotide ribosomal RNA is filed under the name Staphylococcus aureus. Its description in RNAcentral is "partial 23S ribosomal RNA". It matches the Rfam family "Bacterial large subunit ribosomal RNA", at positions 252 to 2215 of the family's 2925-position model. The record is from RNAcentral. Lineage: Bacteria; Bacillati; Bacillota; Bacilli; Caryophanales; Staphylococcaceae.